CAAUAGCGUAUAUUAAAGUUGUUGCAGUUAAAAGCUCGUAGUUGGAGUUCAGAGUGAGCUCAGCCGGUCGGCCUUAUGGGUCAGAACUGGUUGACUCUCUCUUGUUUGUGGAUCCCUUCGGAGUUAACUCUUCGGAUGUGGAGUCCACAUCGUUUACCUUGAAAAAAUUAGAGUGUUCAAAGCAGGCGUUUGCUUGAAUAUAUUAGCAUGGAAUAAUGGAAUAGGACGCUGGUUCUAUUUUGUUGGUUUUGAGAACCAGAGUAAUGAUUAAUAGGGACAGUUGGGGGUGCUAGUAUUGGCCGGCCAGAGGUGAAAUUCUUGGAUUCGGUCAAGACUAACUUAUGCGAAAGCAUUCACCAAGGAUGUCUUCUUUAAUCAAGAACGAAAGUUGGGGGAUCGAAGAUGAUUAGAUACCA
This 416-nucleotide ribosomal RNA is filed under the name uncultured eukaryote. RNAcentral describes it as "bacterial SSU rRNA". It matches the Rfam family "Eukaryotic small subunit ribosomal RNA", at positions 592 to 1017 of the family's 1831-position model. The record is from RNAcentral.